GUGAUAAGUUGUCCUUUAAAUGGGGACUGGAAUGAAUGGUUUGACGUGGAAUUGCUUUUUUUAUAUAAGUUUUAUGAAAUUUCCUUUUAUGUGAAAAGGCUUAAAUACAAAAAAAAGACGAGAAGACCCUGUCGAGUUUGAUUAGAAUUAUUGAUAUGGUAAUGGUUUGAAGUUUUAUUGGGGCAAUAUUUGUUUAAAAAACAACUUAAUUAGUCAAAGAUCCUUUAAGAAAGAAAUUGGCAAAAAUUACCGCAGGGAUAACAGCGUUAUUUUCCAAG
Molecule: ribosomal RNA, 278 nt
Filed under: Chionista fluctifraga
Lineage: Eukaryota; Metazoa; Mollusca; Bivalvia; Venerida; Veneridae
Description: partial 16S ribosomal RNA
Source: RNAcentral